GCUGCUAGAUUUGUGUGGGUUGGAUUUGGUUCAAGCAUGGCCUAGCUUGCGUUGCUUGAUAUUUUGUAAGGUAAGACGAUAAGAAACUUAUCUACUCAAUAAUUGUUUUAGAUUUUUUUUUUCUUUCAUGCAAAUCUAAGUUUCUAUUAUACCAAAUAUGCUAUGCUAAAAACCAUGAUUUUUUUUUUUAUGAUUUGCUAAGGGGUAUUAUCGAAGCACAUAUCAAUC
RNAcentral lists this long non-coding RNA (228 nucleotides) under Gossypium raimondii (Peruvian cotton). RNAcentral describes it as "long non-coding RNA (GRAI_LNC005751)". Lineage: Eukaryota; Viridiplantae; Streptophyta; Magnoliopsida; Malvales; Malvaceae. The record is from RNAcentral.